This 69-nucleotide transfer RNA is filed under the name Pyrhila pisum. RNAcentral's name for it is "tRNA-Met". The record is from RNAcentral. Lineage: Eukaryota; Metazoa; Arthropoda; Malacostraca; Decapoda; Leucosiidae.
AAUAAAGAUAAGCUAAUAAAGCUAAUGGGUUCAUACCCCGUAAAUGUGAGUAACACUCUCUCUUUUUAA